CUUAGCUCAGUUGGAUAGAGCAACGGCCUUCUAAGCCGUAGGUCACAGGUUCGAGCCCUGUA
RNAcentral lists this transfer RNA (62 nucleotides) under Yersinia aleksiciae. It matches the Rfam family "tRNA", at positions 7 to 64 of the family's 71-position model. From Rfam's summary of the family: Transfer RNA (tRNA) molecules are approximately 80 nucleotides in length. Their secondary structure includes four short double-helical elements and three loops (D, anti-codon, and T loops). The record is from RNAcentral. RNAcentral also lists the same sequence under 1 other name. Lineage: Bacteria; Pseudomonadati; Pseudomonadota; Gammaproteobacteria; Enterobacterales; Yersiniaceae.